Molecule: unclassified non-coding RNA, 501 nt
Filed under: Dendronephthya gigantea
Lineage: Eukaryota; Metazoa; Cnidaria; Anthozoa; Malacalcyonacea; Nephtheidae
Description: uncharacterized LOC114542165, transcript variant X2
Source: RNAcentral
AGGCGUAUGUAUAUGUUGCUGGAAAGCCGCUAGCAAAGACAGGCGUCGAGUAUCAUCAGUGCUGCCGGCGUGAAAAAUGAGGAUAAUAAGCCUCUCAAGGGAAUAUAUUAGCAGGCAUGAACGAGGCUGUUGAAGCAUUUGUUGUCUUCAUGCAUGCUUCGGUAUCUGGGCGAAUUCUGCCAGAACACUUCAACUUCACGUUUGGCAAGGUCCCAAACUUCAUUUGUGUCAAUUCGGCAAACAGAGAAUUUGAGACAUGUUUGCGGCUGGUAGAAAUGUUCAGUCACUCGGGUGACUGGAUAUUGGAUGUUAAUUUACCCGAAGCUGGCGGUGUUGCAGCAGUCACGAUCAAACGCAAUUGCCUCAUUCUGGUAAAAACAGAAGAGGAGGAACGAGAGGCCAGGCGAAAGUUGAAAGAACUUUAGAACCUAUAAAUCUAUAUAUAUAUUAUAUAUCUUCAUUGUGUGCUGGGUAUUCCCGGCUCUACGUGCGAAAACAUUC